This 570-nucleotide unclassified non-coding RNA is filed under the name Melitaea cinxia (Glanville fritillary). Its description in RNAcentral is "misc RNA ENSMCXG00005016950.1". The record is from RNAcentral. Lineage: Eukaryota; Metazoa; Arthropoda; Insecta; Lepidoptera; Nymphalidae.
CACGCCGGUAUAUUUGCUUUUCUAAGAUUUGGACUUUUUCCUUGUGAAAAUAGUGAAAAAUUGUGAGAUUUGCAAAACUUUAAACAUAAAAAGUAAAACGCUGCAAUUUGAAGAUUGACGACACAGUGAUAUUUUUAUAUUUUUCAACGGGGUUCAUUGAGUCCUACAUUUUAAUACCCUGUUUGGAUUUUUCUGCGAAAAACUCGCGGAGUUUUUAAGGAAAAACCUGGGACUACGUAGACACGAGGUCUUUGAUUCUGAGGUGCUACGGCAACGUGCGGCACACCAUUCGACGCGUCUCAACGAGUCCAACACAAAAACGCUUAAAACAUCGAGUUCCGAGAAGUUCGCAGAGGUACUUUGAACGCGAAAGAACGAAAAUAGAAGAUUGGAUAUCUCCGGAACCGCUGGUCGUAGCGUGACGGGGUUUUCGCCAUUGACAAGUCCUCUGAGAGGACUCUAGAAUUGACCACAGUGGGUGGCUCUACAUAGAGUCCGUAACGAAAAGGUAGAGUUUUCUCUACAUUUUCUUAGUUUUAGUUUAGGAUUAAGUUGUUUAGGGACCGGGGC